UACGGAGGAUGCAAGUGUUAUCCGGAAUCACUGGGCGUAAAGCGUGCGUAGGCGGCGCAGUAAGUCAGACGUGAAAGCCCUCGGCUCAACCGAGGAAUUGCGUUUGAAACUACUGUGCUAGAGUCUCGGAGAGGUUGGCGGAAUUCCAGGUGUAGGAGUGAAAUCCGUAGAUAUCUGGAGGAACACCGGUGUCGAAGGCGGCCAACUGGACGAGUACUGACGCUGAGGUACGAAAGCGUGGGGAGCAAACAGG
This 253-nucleotide ribosomal RNA is filed under the name uncultured bacterium. RNAcentral describes it as "partial 16S ribosomal RNA". It matches the Rfam family "Bacterial small subunit ribosomal RNA", at positions 524 to 776 of the family's 1533-position model. The record is from RNAcentral.